AAGGGAGAGUAAUACGUGGGAAUCUGCCCUUAGACCUGGGAUAGCAGCGGGAAACUGCUGGUAAUACCAGAUAAUGUCUAUGGACCAAAGGUGUGAUUCCGUCUAGGGAUGAGCCCACGUCCUAUUAGCUAGUUGGUAGGGUAAUGGCCUACCAAGGCGAUGAUGGGUAGCGGGUGUGAGAGCAUGACCCGCCUCACUGGGACUGAGACACUGCCCAGACACCUACGGGUGGCUGCAGUCGAGAAUCUUCGGCAAUGGGCGCAAGCCUGACCGAGCGAUGCCGCGUGCGGGAUGAAGGCCUUCGGGUUGUAAACCGCUGUCGAGGGGGAGCAACUUCCAUAGAGUUAUCUUUAUGGAUUGAGUGAUCCCUGGAGGAAGGACGGGCUAAGUUCGUGCCAGCAGCCGCGGUAAGACGAACCGUCCAAACGUUAUUCGGUAUCACUGGGCUUAAAGAGUUCGUAGGCGGCUAAACAGGUGAGGUGUGAAAGCCCUCGGCUCAACCGAGGAACUGCGCUUCAAACCGUUUAGCUAGAGGAAGACAGAGGUGAGCGGAACUGAUGGUGGAGCGGUGAAAUGCGUUGA
This 582-nucleotide ribosomal RNA is filed under the name uncultured bacterium. Its description in RNAcentral is "bacterial SSU rRNA". It matches the Rfam family "Bacterial small subunit ribosomal RNA", at positions 102 to 694 of the family's 1533-position model. The record is from RNAcentral.